CCUGGCCUUGACAUACUAAGAACUUUCCAGAGAUGGAUUGGUGCCCUCGGGAACUUAGAUACAGGUGCUGCAUGGCUGUCGUCAGCUCGUGUCGUGAGAUGUUGGGUUAAGUCCGCAACGAGCGCAACCCUUUUCCUUAUUUGCCAGCGGGUAAUGCCGGGAACUUUAAGGAUACUGCCAGUGACAAACUGGAGGAAGGCGGGGACGACGUCAAGUCAUCAUGGCCCUUACGGCCAGGGCUACACACGUGCUACAAUGGUCGGUACAAAGGGUUGCUACCUCGCGAGAGGAUGCUAAUCUCAAAAAGCCGAUCGUAGUCCGGAUCGCAGUCUGCAACUCGACUGCGUGAAGUCGGAAUCGCUAGUAAUCGCGGAUCAGAAUGCCGCGGUGAAUACGUUCCCGGGCCUUGUACACACCGCCCGUCACACCAUGGGAGUUUGUUGCACCAGAAGUAGGUAGUCUAACCGCAAGGAGGACGCUUACCACGGUGUGGCCGAUGACUGGGGUGAAGUCGUAACAAGGUAGGCGUAGAUGA
RNAcentral lists this ribosomal RNA (535 nucleotides) under uncultured bacterium. RNAcentral describes it as "bacterial SSU rRNA". It matches the Rfam family "Bacterial small subunit ribosomal RNA", at positions 974 to 1509 of the family's 1533-position model. The record is from RNAcentral.